This 212-nucleotide long non-coding RNA is filed under the name Physcomitrium patens. RNAcentral describes it as "long non-coding RNA (PPAT_LNC012445)". The record is from RNAcentral. Lineage: Eukaryota; Viridiplantae; Streptophyta; Bryopsida; Funariales; Funariaceae.
AUAGUUUUGGAUUUUAAGAAAUAAAAAGAAUUUUAUAAUUUUGAAUAUUUUGUGAGUGUUGUAGCACAUUUAUGAGUGAAAUUUUGUGAGUUUGUUAUUGUGCUUGUCUUUAAUGUAUUUGAAAAGUUUUAUAUCAAUUAAAUAAUUAACUUGAGGGAUAUGAGAGUUUUAUAAGAUUAAGAUCUGAGAUACUUAAAAUUUAAGGUUAGUGA